Molecule: ribosomal RNA, 497 nt
Filed under: uncultured bacterium
Lineage: Bacteria
Description: bacterial SSU rRNA
Rfam family: Bacterial small subunit ribosomal RNA
Source: RNAcentral
AUUGAACGCUGGCGGCAUGCUUUACACAUGCAAGUCGAACGGUAACAGGUCUUCGGAUGCUGACGAGUGGCGAACGGGUGAGUAAUGUAUCGGAACGUGCCCAGUAGUGGGGGAUAACUACUCGAAAGAGUGGCUAAUACCGCAUGAGAACUGAGGUUGAAAGCGGGGGACCUUCGGGCCUCGCGCUACUGGAGCGGCCGAUAUCAGAUUAGGUAGUUGGUGGGGUAAAGGCCUACCAAGCCGACGAUCUGUAGCUGGUCUGAGAGGACGACCAGCCACACUGGGACUGAGACACGGCCCAGACUCCUACGGGAGGCAGCAGUGGGGAAUUUUGGACAAUGGACGCAAGUCUGAUCCAGCAAUGCCGCGUGCAGGACGAAGGCCUCGGUUGUAACUGCUUUGUACUAGACGAAAGGGACGUCUGGUUAAUACCUGGGCGAGAUGACGGUACUGUAAGAAUAAGCACCGGCUAACUACGUGCCAGCAGCCGCGGUAAA